Molecule: long non-coding RNA, 3036 nt
Organism: Myotis myotis
Lineage: Eukaryota; Metazoa; Chordata; Mammalia; Chiroptera; Vespertilionidae
Exons: 3
Source: RefSeq, a predicted model, not a curated record
AGAGAGAGAGAGAGAGAGAGAGAGAUAAAGCUUCUGACAUACACCUGGGACUAAAGGGUAUUCUGUAGUUCACAUCUUUGGUGCCUCAUGGUGACAUUUAUUUCUUUGGCCUAAGAAGCCUUCUGCCUUAACAACCUCUCAGAGUAACAGUGCUGCUUUGCCACUGUUACUUCCCUGCUGGAGUAUCUAUCUGGCAACUGCCUGAACAGAUCCUGGGAAGAAGAAAGUUAUUUUUGUCCAGUGUUCCACACCCCAAAGGAAGGGUGACAAAUCAGAGUGAGAGGAGGGUGGGGUGCCAAAAGGAAAUGAUAUUAUAUCCUAAAGCCAAGAAAUGUGUCCAAGUUCACAUUUUUACCCCUUUACGGUAAGAGUUUAGAGCUUUGAAAGUAAAACUUCAAAAUGCAAAGACUGAAGAAUAACCAUUCCUUAUUUCAUGAACAUGCUACCCUUUGGUGAAAUCCCAUGACAGAAUGAAGAAACAUCUUUAUGAAUGAGACUUGCUGUAGGCACUGCCUCCUGUGGGCACUGACAGCCCUCUUCUCCCUGCACUGGCCAGGCUUGGGGAAUCUUGCCCCAACAGGAUUCACAGGAGAGAGGGGAUUCUGACCCCCAGACAGGUCCCAGAAUUUACCUAAGGUGGCUCACAAGGUUUUCCUAAGAAAUCAUUAGCAGAAGUUUGUCUCAUGAACCAUAGGACUAAUGAUUCCAAAGGACACUUCAUUCUACGUUAGAAAACUGCCCUAGUCAAAUGUUACUUUAUUAUUUAAAAAGUCUAUGGACCUAGAGACAGCAGAUUAGGGGUUGCCAGGGCCUGGGGAGGAGGGCGGAAGGGGUAUGAGUUUUCGUUUGGGGUGUUAAAAGUUCUGGGACUAGAGAGUGGUGAUGGUUGCACAGCAUGCGAAAGUGGUGAUGGAUGCAAUACCACUGAAUUGUACACUUUAAGUGGUUAAAAUGAUGGAUUGUAUUUACCACAUCUACCACAAUGAAAAGUCCACAGACUAUGUAAGAAUUAGUAAUAGCCAUUAACUGAAUACUUUUUAUGCUCUAAGUGCUUUUUGUUGGUAGUCUUGGUUGAUGCUCAGUUUUGAGGUAGCACUGUUCUUUUACACCCCUGCCAGGGAAACUGAGGCAGAGAAGUUGGCAGCUUCAUGUAGAGCUGGUGAUUGAAUCCAGGCAGCCUAAAGGCAGAACUCGUAGCCACUUUCUCAUGUUGCCACUUAGAGAUGUAUCAGAGAUGUUUAUUAUCUACUAAGUAUUUCAAACUGUGAAUUGUGACCUAAUAGUUGUGUCACCAGCAUUAAAAAAAAAGGCGGGGGGUGGAUUAGAAUGGAGAAGAUCCGUCUAUCACAUGUAGUAAGGGUAGAUGUUUUGAGGAACUUUUGUGUAGAUUUUAUAGGUCUGACUUUUUCUGGUGUGUACUGGCCCCGGAUGUAAAAUGUAUUUCUUAUUGUGGAUUGUGAUCAAAAGUUUGAAAGACACUAGAGGGUCACACUUAAGGAUUUAUUAUCAAUUUCUUAGAGGUACAUAGUUAAAAAGAAGAUGGAGAGGAGAUGAGGAUGAGGAUGAUGCUGCGCUUAAAGAGAUAAACCUGAAAUGGUGGUGGUCGAAGACUUGCACCACCCUGGGUGGGAGAGAGAAGGAAGGAUACUUAAGUCUGUAGAAAAUAUAGAAGAGAGUAACAGAGAACACAAUCCUGCCCAAUCCCUAAUUUUAAUUUCUUUAGGAGAGAGCGUAUGCCAAAUGACACACAGAUGGUUUUGGAUAGAAACAAAGUUCUUUUCUAUGAUUAUAAACCAGAUACUUUAUAUCUUAGUAUAUUAAUUCUGAUUAAUAGUGUUGAUGUAAGUGUUGUAAAAUAUAAAAUAAGUUGUUACAUUACAUCCUCAAAAUUACUAUUUUUUUCAGUUCCUCCUGAGUGGAUUGAUGCUAACUUCUCGUGUUCUGGGCAAUUUGUCAUUUCUCUCUGCACUGCAGCUUUUCUUCAAAGCUAGUGAAGACAAUAAAUAGACUCCAGCACCUACUUGAACAUCCUGCCUCUGGGAAUUUAUCUUGUGUAGAUACUUGCAUACAUGAAAUGAUCUAUGCUCAAGUGAGGAAGAACUGUGGGAUUUGAUUAAUUGGAAAGUGUGUUAAGAAUGUAGGACACUUUGGAGCCCUGAGCCACCAGGUAAAAAGUCCAGUUACUCUGAGGGUGCCAUACUGUGAGGAAGCUCUACCACACGGAGAGGCCACAUGUGUGUGUCCUGCCUACUUGCUGUAGCUGAGGUUCCACCCAACAGUUAGCAUCAAGCACUAGACAUGAGAGUAAAGGUUCCUCAAAGUGAUCCCAGCCCACAGCUGACUGGUCACCCCAGUGAGGCCCCAAACAUUGUGGAGUACAGACCAGGCAUAUCCUCCAUGCCCUGUCUGAAUUCCUGAUGUACAGAAUCCAAGGACAUAAUAAAAUAGUUGUAUACCACUACAUUCUGGGGUGUUUUGUUAUGCACCAAAAGCACCUAGGCAGAUUUUGAAAUAAGGUGGUUGGAAUUUGCCUGUGUGCAGAGGAAAAGGGGUGACUUAAACAGGCCAAGAGAGGGCAUGAUGGUUUAAGGCUAGAGAUUUAAAUUUGUGAAUUAUCAGAAGAAAGCUGACAGUGAGGUUAGGAGAGUGCCUGAGCUCCUUAAACAAGUGGGAGGAGAUAGGUGGCCUAAACUUCAGGAGUUGUCUGCAUUCAGGUGGGAAGAAGAGAGAGAAGUGGCAGAGAUAGUCCUAACAGGAGGUAUUAGACUCAGGAGAUUCAAGAGUGUAGGCACUGGGAAAAUGGUUUUCCCAAUUAUAGGAGCAAGGAACAAAAGGAAGAGGUCAUGAGACAUAGACUUGAGCCAGAAAGCCUGGCUUCAGAUCCUGUUACUUACCAGCUAUGUCUCAAUUGCCUCAUCUGUAAAAUUGGGCUGUUAAUAGUACUCAUCCAGUGCAGCUGGUGUGGCUCAGUGGUUGGGCGUUGACCUAUGAACCAGGAGAUCACAGUUUGAUUCCCAGUCAGGGCAGGUGCCCAGA